Molecule: ribosomal RNA, 794 nt
Filed under: uncultured bacterium
Lineage: Bacteria
Description: bacterial SSU rRNA
Rfam family: Bacterial small subunit ribosomal RNA
Source: RNAcentral
AGGCUUAACACAUGCAAGUCGAGGGGAAACGACAUCGAAAACUUGCUUUUGAUGGGCGUCGACCGGCGCACGGGUGAGUAACGCGUAUCCAACCUGCCCACCACUUGGGGAUAACCUUGCGAAAGUAAGACUAAUACCCAAUGACGUCUCUAGAAGACAUCUGAAAGAGAUUAAAGAUUUAUCGGUGAUGGAUGGGGAUGCGUCUGAUUAGCUUGUUGGCGGGGUAACGGCCCACCAAGGCAACGAUCAGUAGGGGUUCUGAGAGGAAGGUCCCCCACAUUGGAACUGAGACACGGUCCAAACUCCUACGGGAGGCAGCAGUGAGGAAUAUUGGUCAAUGGACGAGAGUCUGAACCAGCCAAGUAGCGUGCAGGAUGACGGCCCUAUGGGUUGUAAACUGCUUUUUAUAAGGGAAUAAAGUGAGUCUCGUGAGACUUUUUGCAUGUACCUUAUGAAAUAAGGACCGGCUAAUUCCGUGCCAGCAGCCGCGGUAAUACGGAAGGGUCCCGGGCGUUAUCCGGAUUUAUUGGGUCUAAAGGGAGCGUAGGCCGGAGAUUAAGCUUGUUGUGAAAUGGAGACGCUUAUCGUCUGCACUGCAGCGCGAACUGGCUUCCGGGAGUACGCACAAAGUGGGCGGAAUUCGUGGUGUAGCGGUGAAAUGCUUAGAUAUCACGAAGAACUCCGAUUGCGAAGGCAGCUCACUGGAGCGCAACUGACGCUGAAGCUCGAAAGUGCGGGUAUCGAACAGGAUUAGAUACCCUGGUAGUCCGCACGGUAAACGAUGGAUGCCCGCU